UCCGGUUCUAUUCCUUUUUGUUUGAAGUAAAGGCUUGUUAUCGACGAAUAAAUAAGCUCUUUCUACUUUGCCCUAAAAGCUCGUCCUAAGUAAAGCAGUUUUCACUCGAGAAGAUAGCUUAAGUUAUAGUUAUCACAGCUAAAGCGAUAGCAACUCAUGAACGAAGUGCUCGACCAAACAAGCAACGGAUUGAUUAAGCGCACUAGCGCGAAAGCCUAUUCGUCUAA
This 227-nucleotide unclassified non-coding RNA is filed under the name Hevea brasiliensis (rubber tree). Lineage: Eukaryota; Viridiplantae; Streptophyta; Magnoliopsida; Malpighiales; Euphorbiaceae. The record is from RNAcentral.